This 253-nucleotide unclassified non-coding RNA is filed under the name uncultured Sphingomonadaceae bacterium. Its description in RNAcentral is "contains 16S-23S intergenic spacer region". It matches the Rfam family "Bacterial small subunit ribosomal RNA", at positions 524 to 776 of the family's 1533-position model. Lineage: Bacteria; Pseudomonadati; Pseudomonadota; Alphaproteobacteria; Sphingomonadales; Sphingomonadaceae. The record is from RNAcentral.
UACGGAGGUAGCUAGCGUUGUUCGUAAUUACUGGGCGUAAAGCGCACGUAGGCGGCGAUCCAAGUCAGGGGUUAAAUCCCGGGGCUCAACCCCGGAACGUCCCUUGAAACUAGGUUGCUAGAAUACUGGAGAGGUGAGUGGAAUUCCGAGUGUAGAGGUGAAAUUCGUAGAUAUUCGGAAGAACACCAGUGGCGAAGGCGACUCACUGGACAGUUAUUGACGCUGAGGUGCGAAAGCGUGGGGAGCAAAAAAG